This is a non-coding RNA of Xenopus laevis (African clawed frog), 85 nucleotides long. NCBI's taxonomy places the organism in Eukaryota, Metazoa, Chordata, Amphibia, Anura, Pipidae. The record is from Rfam.
GCCUGAGUAGCUCAGUCGGUAGAGCGCAGGGCUCUGGUCGAUAACCUGGUCCAAAAGGUUGUGGGUUCAAUUCCCACCUCUGCCA